AACGAACGCUGGCGGCAUGCCUAACACAUGCAAGUCGAACGAGACCUUCGGGUCUAGUGGCGCACGGGUGCGUAACGCGUGGGAACCUGCCCUUAGGUUCGGAAUAACUCCCCGAAAGGGGUGCUAAUACCGGAUAAUGUCUUCGGACCAAAGAUUUAUCGCCUUUGGAUGGGCCCGCGUUGGAUUAGCUAGUUGGUAGGGUAAAAGCCUACCAAGGCGACGAUCCAUAGCUGGUCUGAGAGGAUGAUCAGCCACACUGGGACUGAGACACGGCCCAGACUCCUACGGGAGGCAGCAGUGGGGAAUAUUGAACAAUGGGCGAAAGCCUGAUCCAGCAAUGCCGCGUGAGUGAUGGAGGCCUUAGGGUUGUAAAGCUCUUUUACCCGGGAUGAUAAUGACAGUACCGGGAGAAUAAGCUCCGGCUAACUCCGUG
RNAcentral lists this ribosomal RNA (433 nucleotides) under uncultured bacterium. Its description in RNAcentral is "partial 16S ribosomal RNA". It matches the Rfam family "Bacterial small subunit ribosomal RNA", at positions 29 to 507 of the family's 1533-position model. The record is from RNAcentral.